RNAcentral lists this ribosomal RNA (524 nucleotides) under uncultured bacterium. RNAcentral's name for it is "bacterial SSU rRNA". It matches the Rfam family "Bacterial small subunit ribosomal RNA", at positions 355 to 896 of the family's 1533-position model. The record is from RNAcentral.
UGGGGAAUAUUGGACAAUGGACCAAGAGUCUGAUCCAGCAAUUCUGUGUGCACGAUGAAGUUUUUCGGAAUGUAAAGUGCUUUCAGUUGGGAAGAAAAAAAUGACGGUACCAACAGAAGAAGUGACGGCUAAAUACGUGCCAGCAGCCGCGGUAAUACGUAUGUCACAAGCGUUAUCCGGAUUUAUUGGGCGUAAAGCGCGUCUAGGUGGUUAUAUAAGUCUGAUGUGAAAAUGCAGGGCUCAACUCUGUAUUGCGUUGGAAACUGUGUAACUAGAGUACUGGAGAGGUAAGCGGAACUACAAGUGUAGAGGUGAAAUUCGUAGAUAUUUGUAGGAAUGCCGAUGGGGAAGCCAGCUUACUGGACAGAUACUGACGCUGAAGCGCGAAAGCGUGGGUAGCAAACAGGAUUAGAUACCCUGGUAGUCCACGCCGUAAACGAUGAUUACUAGGUGUUGGGGGUCGAACCUCAGCGCCCAAGCAAACGCGAUAAGUAAUCCGCCUGGGGAGUACGUACGCAAGUAUG